RNAcentral lists this microRNA precursor (77 nucleotides) under Pundamilia nyererei. Its description in RNAcentral is "let-7a-6 stem-loop (pny-let-7a-6)". Its record names the gene pny-let-7a-6. It matches the Rfam family "let-7 microRNA precursor family", at positions 7 to 78 of the family's 84-position model. From Rfam's summary of the family: This family represents the microRNAs (miRNA) let-7 and mir-98. let-7 was identified from a study of developmental timing in C. elegans, and was later shown to be part of a much larger class of non-coding RNAs termed miRNAs. The extents of the hairpin precursors are not generally known and are estimated based on hairpin prediction. Lineage: Eukaryota; Metazoa; Chordata; Actinopteri; Cichliformes; Cichlidae. The record is from miRBase by way of RNAcentral.
UGAGGUAGUAGGUUGUAUAGUUUGUGGGAUGGACUCAAUCCUAUUCAGGUGAUAACUAUACAGCCUAUUACCUUCCU